UUAUCUCUGUAGAGUCUGCAUAUCAAUAAGCGGAGGAAAAGAAACUAACUAGGAUUCCCUCAGUAACGGCGAGUGAAGCGGGAAGAGCUCAAAUUUGAAAUCUUCAAGGUUCUACCUUGACGAAUUGUAGUUUAAAGAAGUGUUUUCUGUUGGAGUUUUGGUAAAAGUUCUUUGGAAUAGGACAUCAUAGAGGGUGAGAAUCCCGUAUUUGACCAUUAUUUCCAACUUUGUGAUACACUUUCAAAGAGUCGGAUUGUUUGGGAAUGCAGUCCAAAAUGGGUGGUAAAUUUCAUCUAAAGCUAAAUAUUGGCGAGAGACCGAUAGCGAACAAGUACCGUGAGGGAAAGAUGAAAAGAACUUUGAAAAGAGAGUUAAACAGUACGUGAAAUUGUCAAAAGGGAAGCGUUUGACACCAGUGUUGUUUUCUCGAAAAUCAAUUAAAAAAUGGCAUGGAUUUUGUGUUGUAUUGACUUUAUCAGCUUUCUGCACUCUUUUCUUGUCUUUUUUAAUGCACUUUUCGUUUAACAAGUCAACAUCAAUUUCUUUUGUUGUAAAAGGGUCAUUGGAAGGUGGCCUUCUUUUCGGAGAAAGUGUUUAUAGCCUUUGGCCUCUGCAAUCGGAGAGAUUGAGGUCUGCAGCGUAGAUCCUUCGGGGUUAGAGACAUUUGUGCUAAGUUAUAGCCUUUCAUAGACAACUUGUUGACUAUGAUCAGUCAUGUAGCUUACUCGCUUAUGCUAUUUUACCUACGCUUAGGAUGUUGAGUAGCGACAUACGCAC
This 777-nucleotide ribosomal RNA is filed under the name uncultured Neocallimastigales. RNAcentral describes it as "partial large subunit ribosomal RNA". It matches the Rfam family "Eukaryotic large subunit ribosomal RNA", at positions 24 to 649 of the family's 3401-position model. The record is from RNAcentral. Lineage: Eukaryota; Fungi; Neocallimastigomycota; Neocallimastigomycetes; Neocallimastigales.